This 852-nucleotide ribosomal RNA is filed under the name uncultured bacterium. RNAcentral's name for it is "bacterial SSU rRNA". It matches the Rfam family "Bacterial small subunit ribosomal RNA", at positions 21 to 870 of the family's 1533-position model. The record is from RNAcentral.
GGCUCAGAUUGAACGCUGGCGGCAUGCUUUACACAUGCAAGUCGAACGGCAGCACGGGGGCAACCCUGGUGGCGAGUGGCGAACGGGUGAGUAAUAUAUCGGAACAUGUCCGGAAGUGGGGGAUAACGUAGCGAAAGCUACGCUAAUACCGCAUACGAUCUAUGGAUGAAAGCGGGGGAUCGCAAGACCUCGCGCGAUUGGAGCGGCCGAUAUCAGAUUAGCUAGUUGGUGGGGUAAAGGCCCACCAAGGCGACGAUCUGUAGCUGGUCUGAGAGGACGACCAGCCACACUGGAACUGAGACACGGUCCAGACUCCUACGGGAGGCAGCAGUGGGGAAUUUUGGACAAUGGGCGCAAGCCUGAUCCAGCAAUGCCGCGUGCAGGACGAAGGCCUUCGGGUUGUAAACUGCUUUUGUACGGAACGAAAAGGUCUGCCCUAAUGCGGCGGGCUCAUGACGGUACCGUAAGAAUAAGCACCGGCUAACUACGUGCCAGCAGCCGCGGUAAUACGUAGGGUGCAAGCGUUAAUCGGAAUUACUGGGCGUAAAGCGUGCGCAGGCGGUUUUGUAAGACAGAUGUGAAAUCCCCGGGCUCAACCUGGGACCUGCAUUUGUGACUGCAAAGCUAGAGUACGGCAGAGGGGGAUGGAAUUCCACGUGUAGCAGUGAAAUGCGUAGAUAUGCGGAGGAACACCGAUGGCGAAGGCAAUCCCCUGGGCCUGUACUGACGCUCAUGCACGAAAGCGUGGGGAGCAAACAGGAUUAGAUACCCUGGUAGUCCACGCCCUAAACGAUGUCAACUGGUUGUUGGGUCUUCACUGACUCAGUAACGAAGCUAACGCGUGAAGUGACC